This 1479-nucleotide ribosomal RNA is filed under the name Limosilactobacillus fermentum. Its description in RNAcentral is "bacterial SSU rRNA". It matches the Rfam family "Bacterial small subunit ribosomal RNA". The record is from RNAcentral. Lineage: Bacteria; Bacillati; Bacillota; Bacilli; Lactobacillales; Lactobacillaceae.
ACCGGGGGGUGUGCUAUACAUGCAAGUCGAACGCGUUGGCCCAAUUGAUUGAUGGUGCUUGCACCUGAUUGAUUUUGGUCGCCAACGAGUGGCGGACGGGUGAGUAACACGUAGGUAACCUGCCCAGAAGCGGGGGACAACAUUUGGAAACAGAUGCUAAUACCGCAUAACAGCGUUGUUCGCAUGAACAACGCUUAAAAGAUGGCUUCUCGCUAUCACUUCUGGAUGGACCUGCGGUGCAUUAGCUUGUUGGUGGGGUAAUGGCCUACCAAGGCGAUGAUGCAUAGCCGAGUUGAGAGACUGAUCGGCCACAAUGGGACUGAGACACGGCCCAUACUCCUACGGGAGGCAGCAGUAGGGAAUCUUCCACAAUGGGCGCAAGCCUGAUGGAGCAACACCGCGUGAGUGAAGAAGGGUUUCGGCUCGUAAAGCUCUGUUGUUAAAGAAGAACACGUAUGAGAGUAACUGUUCAUACGUUGACGGUAUUUAACCAGAAAGUCACGGCUAACUACGUGCCAGCAGCCGCGGUAAUACGUAGGUGGCAAGCGUUAUCCGGAUUUAUUGGGCGUAAAGAGAGUGCAGGCGGUUUUCUAAGUCUGAUGUGAAAGCCUUCGGCUUAACCGGAGAAGUGCAUCGGAAACUGGAUAACUUGAGUGCAGAAGAGGGUAGUGGAACUCCAUGUGUAGCGGUGGAAUGCGUAGAUAUAUGGAAGAACACCAGUGGCGAAGGCGGCUACCUGGUCUGCAACUGACGCUGAGACUCGAAAGCAUGGGUAGCGAACAGGAUUAGAUACCCUGGUAGUCCAUGCCGUAAACGAUGAGUGCUAGGUGUUGGAGGGUUUCCGCCCUUCAGUGCCGGAGCUAACGCAUUAAGCACUCCGCCUGGGGAGUACGACCGCAAGGUUGAAACUCAAAGGAAUUGACGGGGGCCCGCACAAGCGGUGGAGCAUGUGGUUUAAUUCGAAGCUACGCGAAGAACCUUACCAGGUCUUGACAUCUUGCGCCAACCCUAGAGAUAGGGCGUUUCCUUCGGGAACGCAAUGACAGGUGGUGCAUGGUCGUCGUCAGCUCGUGUCGUGAGAUGUUGGGUUAAGUCCCGCAACGAGCGCAACCCUUGUUACUAGUUGCCAGCAUUAAGUUGGGCACUCUAGUGAGACUGCCGGUGACAAACCGGAGGAAGGUGGGGACGACGUCAGAUCAUCAUGCCCCUUAUGACCUGGGCUACACACGUGCUACAAUGGACGGUACAACGAGUCGCGAACUCGCGAGGGCAAGCAAAUCUCUUAAAACCGUUCUCAGUUCGGACUGCAGGCUGCAACUCGCCUGCACGAAGUCGGAAUCGCUAGUAAUCGCGGAUCAGCAUGCCGCGGUGAAUACGUUCCCGGGCCUUGUACACACCGCCCGUCACACCAUGAGAGUUUGUAACACCCAAAGUCGGUGGGGUAACCUUUUAGGAGCCAGCCGCCUAAGUGACAGAAAG